UGUUCCCUCCCUCCAACCACGCUUGUUCUCUCCUGCCCCACACUGGAUCCGUCACACAAUACCACAGUGCCGUUAGCCACACCUCAAUAGCAGGAUAGUGAGCGGGGACAAAGAUAGAAAAAACAUUGUUUUAUCGCGUACCACAGCCUACAUUGGUGAGAACAAUCACUGUGCGUCCAGGGUGAGUUAAUGAGAGAAAACUGUAGAAAUGAUUUGUUGAUUUGUGUUUUGCUUUUCUCACAGGACAUGUUUUGUUGCUUUAGUAAGUUUUGAUAAAUUUUUGCCUGAAAAAAUAAGCUAAAUGGAGACAAACACAAGCACAUCGCACUAGUUAAUCCAAUGACGUUUGAUGAACACACCAAAAGCAAUCAGAAGUGCAAAGACAAUGAAUUCGUUAAAUAUUUACAUUUAUUUCAAACGAUGUGCUUAGACAUGAAUAAAAAAAAGUGAUUCACUAGAAUACAACGAGUGCACGGACAUAACUCAGCACGUUCCUUUAGUGGUGAAAAUAAUUUGAUCAGGUGUUAUCGAUCUGAAGUGCUGGGUUUGAUUGGAAUUGUCUUCGUGGCUUUCAAAGACAAAUGCAGCGACGCUGGGAGACAGUUUCCCAUGGAUGCAAAGCAGAUUAGAGAGUAGCUGUGCGGAACUAUCAGUCGGUGGCUGUCUGUGAUCUCUUGAUUACACCUUGAUUACACCUUCAUUAUUCAGGACCGAGCUGCUACAGAGAAACCUCUACAAUUUGCGAGGAACGUUCGUCCACAAAGACGCUGCCCGCCAAAUGAGAAGCGACAGUUUGGGACGUAUCCAAAAUCAUUGCAGUUCCUUCGCCAUUUGCACUUUGCAACCUGUUGCGGAACCAUCGUCUACCCAGAUGUCGAUAAAUUCUUGAUGUGUCUUGUGUGAAUCCUGUGAAAAUGUAUUCUGAAACGAGUGCCCUAGGAUGAGUGAUGAUCCGUUCACCUCAGAAUGUCAUCAUAAGAUUGGGCGAAUGACAAGUGUGAUAUAUGCCUCAACAGAAGAUCUCUUGAUGAUAUAGGAAAGACUAAAAAUUUCUCACAGCUCCCGUGACGGAUGUAUAAAUAUCUAAAGCAGUUUUAAUGUGCAAAACAAAUUUCCCUAACAGGUUUUGAAAAUUUCUUGGUGUGUUUGUGGAUAAGCAUCGAUUUAUAGACGUUUUGGAGAUUUUUUUUUCAUGGACAAAUUUGGCGAUUACUUUACAAUUUGUUUCAGGGCGCAUCGUUUGAGAUCUUUUUCAUCAGACUCGUCUAAUCCAAACUGAAAACAGUCGACGCCACCUUUUGCCCGUCUCUGUUACUUUAUACAUGAAUUGGUGUGUAUUCCAAAGGCUCUACCCAGUCAAAUCAUCUGCUCUGUUUACUUAGCCCUGGCAUCUGGGAGUGCAAUAAGACUUUCGUGUGCAUCAGAUUUCAAGCUUGCUUUGGCUUGAUAAGCUAAAUUUGAAGCUUUUGUUGUGUUUGCCUUGUGCAAAAUAAUUUUGACUAGUAUUUCUGUAAGUUUACAUUCAUAUACACGGUUCAGCUCAAGAACUGAGAAUACGUACGUCGAGUAGUAAGUGACAUUUCACCUUCUCAUUUCUAUAGUUGUGUUAAUUUGGCAUUCUGGUUCAUAUAAACCCAAAAUAUCGAAGUGAAAUGUAAAGGUGGACUGCCAGUACACAUCCUCCAUGUACCACCACCACCACCAACCCAGGCCUCUGGCCGAUGCAGAGGCGUAUCAUCAGUUUAUGAGCCACAACAAGCACUUGCUGCUACAGAUCAAGAUGUCGGUCAUUUUCUUCAUCGGCGGCGUGGUCAUUGUGGUGUGUGUCGUCUACAUUCUGUUUCAGUGCAGGACUAAAGUGGUUAAACCACUCAUCAAACAUUCUAAAAACAGAAGAGUUCCUAAUGAGGAGAAAAAGGAACUCUUUGGCUCUACGGAUACUCUGGAGAACCUGCUGCCUUCCGAGAAAAACUCUUUACCGUUGAAAAUCAGGAAAGACACGGAGUUUUAUGUAUGAAGAU
This is a long non-coding RNA of Aplysia californica (California sea hare), 2021 nucleotides long. RefSeq lists it as uncharacterized. The record is from RefSeq and is a predicted model, not a curated record. The transcript has 2 exons. NCBI's taxonomy places the organism in Eukaryota, Metazoa, Mollusca, Gastropoda, Aplysiida, Aplysiidae.